RNAcentral lists this ribosomal RNA (375 nucleotides) under Laonice weddellia. RNAcentral's name for it is "partial 16S ribosomal RNA". It matches the Rfam family "Bacterial large subunit ribosomal RNA", at positions 1936 to 2528 of the family's 2925-position model. Lineage: Eukaryota; Metazoa; Annelida; Polychaeta; Spionida; Spionidae. The record is from RNAcentral.
GUAUCCUGACCGUGCUAAGGUAGCAUAAUCAUUUGCCUCUUAAUUGGUGGCUAGUAUGAAUGGACACACGCAAGCAUCGCUGUCUCACUAAUAUAAAUAAAAACUAACCUUUAGGUGAAGAGGCCUAAAUAAAAUAAAAAGACAAAAAGACCCUAUGGAGCUUUAUUUUUCCUCCUUUAACGUACAAUAUACUAAAAUACCUUCCAGGACUAACAAAUUUAGUUGGGGCGACUUAGGAAAACAAUAAAUCUUCCUAGUUUAACAAGAAAAUAAUUCAUCCAACGAUCCGCCAUGCGAAUACAGAUCCAGCUACCCUAGGGAUAACAGGCUAAUUCUUCUCGAGAGCCCGAAUUGACAGAAGAGAUUGGCACCUCG